GCUGGGUGCUGUGAUGCACACCUGUAAUCCCAGCAUUUCAGGAGGUGGAGGCAGGAGGAUCACAAGUUCAAAGCCAGUCUCUGCAAUUUAGCAAGGCAUUAAGCAACUCAGUGAGACCCUGUCUCAA
This 127-nucleotide small RNA is filed under the name Marmota monax (woodchuck). The record is from RNAcentral. Lineage: Eukaryota; Metazoa; Chordata; Mammalia; Rodentia; Sciuridae.